Non-coding RNA from Populus trichocarpa (black cottonwood), 107 nucleotides. The record is from Rfam. NCBI's taxonomy places the organism in Eukaryota, Viridiplantae, Streptophyta, Magnoliopsida, Malpighiales, Salicaceae.
AUCUGAUGAUGAGGGCAUUGAAUGCACAAUUACUCAAAUCUUUCCCAAUACUCGAAGAGUGUCUCCCUAUGAGACUGUCGAAUCCCACAUAUUUCUUUCCUUAUGUU